GCUUGUCUCAAAGAUUAAGCCAUGCAUGUCUCAGUAUAAGUUCCUGUACGGCGAAACUGCGAAUGGCUCAUUAAAACAGUUAUAGUUUAUUUGAUGGUCGUUCCUUACAUGGAUAACUGUGGUAAUUCUAGAGCUAAUACAUGCAGGAAGACCCGACUCACGAAGGGUUGUAUUUAUUAGAUAAGAAACCUUCCCCUUUGGGUUGCGUGCCGAGUCACAAUAACUGCUCGAAUCGCAUGGCUUCACGCCGGCGAUGGUUCAUUCAAAUUUCUGCCCUAUCAGCUUUCGAUGGUAGGAUCGAGGCCUACCAUGGCGUUUACGGGUAACGGAGAAUUAGGGUUCGAUUCCGGAGAGGGAGCCUGAGAGAUGGCUACCACAUCCAAGGAAGGCAGCAGG
RNAcentral lists this ribosomal RNA (396 nucleotides) under Chrysochromulina parva. RNAcentral describes it as "partial small subunit ribosomal RNA". It matches the Rfam family "Eukaryotic small subunit ribosomal RNA", at positions 30 to 432 of the family's 1831-position model. The record is from RNAcentral. Lineage: Eukaryota; Haptophyta; Prymnesiales; Chrysochromulinaceae.